RNAcentral lists this ribosomal RNA (753 nucleotides) under Triticum aestivum (bread wheat). RNAcentral describes it as "partial small subunit ribosomal RNA". Lineage: Eukaryota; Viridiplantae; Streptophyta; Magnoliopsida; Poales; Poaceae. The record is from RNAcentral.
AUGUCUACCUGUCUCACAGAUAUGAUUAAUGCCAAUGAGAUUGAUUUUAUUGGGUUACAAGAGACUAUGAAAGAGACAUAUAAGCCAUCCUUUUUUAGGAAGCUUGACGUGAGCCAAAAGUUUCAUUGGGAGUGGGUUCCUUCUAGGGGAAAGUCUGGAGGAAUUCUUUGUGGGCUUAGUAAAGAUUUUGAUAUCCUUACGACUAGGCAUGGUAAUUACAUCCUACAGUUAGAUCUGUUUGAUAGGGUCAAGAAUUGUAGUUGGUCUUUGAUGAUUGUAUAUGGUGCUGCUCAUGAUGAACAUAAACCUGAGUUCAUCGCAGAGCUGUCUUCUAUGUGCCAUAAUACUAACAUGCCAUAUUUGGUUGGGGGAGACUUUAAUAUCAUUCGACACAGUGGGGAGAAGAAUAAAAAAUAGCCAUCUCACUUCUCUGAAGUGUUCAAUUCUGUCAUACACCUGCUUGGGUUGAGGGAAAUUCACAUGACAGGUGGUUGUUAUACCCGGUCCAAUAAACAGGCAAACCCAACUUUGGAAAAAUUGGAUAGGGUCCUUAUGUCUCCUGACUGGGAAGAUUUAUAUCCCCUUGCAUUAGUAAAUAAGUUUGUCAAAGAAAAUUCUGAUCACAACCCCCUACUGUUGGAUGGAGGGAGAGCUUCUUCUAAAGCACCAGGUAAUAGGUGUUUUAGAUUUGAUAAUGCUUGGCUUAAGAAUCCAGAUUUCCUUCCCUUGGUAUCUGAGAUCUGGUCAAGACCG